RNAcentral lists this non-coding RNA (31 nucleotides) under Homo sapiens (human). The record is from RNAcentral. Lineage: Eukaryota; Metazoa; Chordata; Mammalia; Primates; Hominidae.
UGUAAAUGUACACCAUGGAAUACGACACAGC